AUACGGAGGGUGCAGGCGUUAUUCGGAAUCACUGGGCGUAAAGGACGCGUAGGCGGGUUGGCAAGUCAGAUGUGAAAUCCUACAGCUUAACUGUAGAACUGCAUUUGAAACUGCUAACCUAGAGUAUGGGAGGGGGAGAUGGAAUUAGUGGUGUAGGGGUAAAAUCCGUAGAUAUCACUAGGAAUACCGAAAGCGAAGGCGAUCUCCUGGAACAUAACUGACGCUAAGGCGUGAAAGCGUGGGGAGCAAACAGGAUUAGAAACCCUAGUAGUCC
This 274-nucleotide ribosomal RNA is filed under the name uncultured bacterium. RNAcentral's name for it is "partial 16S ribosomal RNA". It matches the Rfam family "Bacterial small subunit ribosomal RNA", at positions 523 to 796 of the family's 1533-position model. The record is from RNAcentral.